Molecule: ribosomal RNA, 466 nt
Filed under: uncultured bacterium
Lineage: Bacteria
Description: partial 16S ribosomal RNA
Rfam family: Bacterial small subunit ribosomal RNA
Source: RNAcentral
GAUGAACGCUGGCGGCGUGCUUAACACAUGCGAGUCGAACGAUGAAGCCCAGCUUGCUGGGUGGAUUAGUGGCGAACGGGUGAGUAACACGUGAGUAACCUGCCCUUAACUCUGGGAUAAGCCUGGGAAACUGGGUCUAAUACCGGAUAGGAGCGUCCACCGCAUGGGGGGUGUUGGAAAGAUUUAUCGGUUUUGGAUGGACUCGCGGCCUAUCAGCUUGUUGGUGAGGUAAUGGCUCACCAAGGCGACGACGGGUAGCCGGCCUGAGAGGGUGACCGGCCACACUGGGACUGAGACACGGCCCAGUCUCCUACGGGAGGCAGCAGUGGGGAAUAUUGCACAAUGGGCGCAAGCCUGAUGCAGCGACGCCGCGUGAGGGAUGACGGCCUUCGGGUUGUAAACCUCUUUCAGUAGGGAAGAAGCGAAAGUGACGGUACCUGCAGAAGAAGCACCGGCUAACUACGUG